This 1346-nucleotide ribosomal RNA is filed under the name uncultured bacterium. Its description in RNAcentral is "partial 16S ribosomal RNA". It matches the Rfam family "Bacterial small subunit ribosomal RNA", at positions 28 to 1381 of the family's 1533-position model. The record is from RNAcentral.
GACGAACGCUGGCGGCGUGCUUAACACAUGCAAGUCGAACGGAAAGGCCCUGCUUUUGUGGGGUGCUCGAGUGGCGAACGGGUGAGUAACACGUGAGUAACCUGCCCUUGACUUUGGGAUAACUUCAGGAAACUGGGGCUAAUACCGGAUAGGAGCUCCUGCUGCAUGGUGGGGGUUGGAAAGUUUCGGCGGUUGGGGAUGGACUCGCGGCUUAUCAGCUUGUUGGUGGGGUAGUGGCUUACCAAGGCCUUGACGGGUAGCCGGCCUGAGAGGGUGACCGGCCACAUUGGGACUGAGAUACGGCCCAGACUCCUACGGGAGGCAGCAGUGGGGAAUAUUGCACAAUGGGCGGAAGCCUGAUGCAGCAACGCCGCGUGCGGGAUGACGGCCUUCGGGUUGUAAACCGCUUUCGCCUGUGACGAAGCGUGAGUGACGGUAAUGGGUAAAGAAGCACCGGCUAACUACGUGCCAGCAGCCGCGGUGAUACGUAGGGUGCGAGCGUUGUCCGGAUUUAUUGGGCGUAAAGGGCUCGUAGGUGGUUGAUCGCGUCGGAAGUGUAAUCUUGGGGCUUAACCCUGAGCGUGCUUUCGAUACGGGUUGACUUGAGGAAGGUAGGGGAGAAUGGAAUUCCUGGUGGAGCGGUGGAAUGCGCAGAUAUCAGGAGGAACACCAGUGGCGAAGGCGGUUCUCUGGGCCUUUCCUGACGCUGAGGAGCGAAAGCGUGGGGAGCGAACAGGCUUAGAUACCCUGGUAGUCCACGCUGUAAACGGUGGGUACUAGGUGUGGGGUCCAUUCCACGGGUUCCGUGCCGUAGCUAACGCUUUAAGUACCCCGCCUGGGGAGUACGGCCGCAAGGCUAAAACUCAAAGGAAUUGACGGGGCCCCGCACAAGCGGCGGAGCAUGCGGAUUAAUUCGAUGCAACGCGUAGAACCUUACCUGGGUUUGACAUGGAUCGGGAGUGCUCAGAGAUGGGUGUGCCUCUUUUGGGGUCGGUUCACAGGUGGUGCAUGGCUGUCGUCAGCUCGUGUCGUGAGAUGUUGGGUUAAGUCCCGCAACGAGCGCAACCCUUGUUCACUGUUGCCAGCACGUUAUGGUGGGGACUCAGUGGAGACCGCCGGGGUCAACUCGGAGGAAGGUGGGGAUGACGUCAAGUCAUCAUGCCCCUUAUGUCCAGGGCUUCACGCAUGCUACAAUGGCUGGUACAGAGAGUGGCGAGCCUGUGAGGGUGAGCGAAUCUCGGAAAGUCGGUCUCAGUUCGGAUUGGGGUCUGCAACUCGACCUCAUGAAGUCGGAGUCGCUAGUAAUCGCAGAUCAGCAACGCUGCGGUGAAUACGUUCCCGGGGCU